GAUGUACGCUGGCGGCGUGCCUAAUACAUGCAAGUCGAGCGAACAGACGAGGAGCUUGCUCCUCUGACGUUAGCGGCGGACGGGUGAGUAACACGUGGAUAACCUACCUAUAAGACUGGGAUAACUUCGGGAAACCGGAGCUAAUACCGGAUAAUAUAUUGAACCGCAUGGUUCAAUAGUGAAAGACGGUUUUGCUGUCACUUAUAGAUGGAUCCGCGCCGCAUUAGCUAGUUGGUAAGGUAACGGCUUACCAAGGCGACGAUGCGUAGCCGACCUGAGAGGGUGAUCGGCCACACUGGAACUGAGACACGGUCCAGACUCCUACGGGAGGCAGCAGUAGGGAAUCUUCCGCAAAGGGCGAAAGCCUGACGGAGCAACGCCGCGUGAGUGAUGAAGGUCUUCGGAUCGUAAAACUCUGUUAUUAGGGAAGAACAAAUGUGUAAGUAACUAUGCACGUCUUGACGGUACCUAAUCAGAAAGCCACGGCUAACUACGUG
Molecule: ribosomal RNA, 497 nt
Filed under: uncultured bacterium
Lineage: Bacteria
Description: partial 16S ribosomal RNA
Rfam family: Bacterial small subunit ribosomal RNA
Source: RNAcentral